RNAcentral lists this long non-coding RNA (477 nucleotides) under Capsicum annuum. Its description in RNAcentral is "long non-coding RNA (CANN_LNC019888)". The record is from RNAcentral. Lineage: Eukaryota; Viridiplantae; Streptophyta; Magnoliopsida; Solanales; Solanaceae.
AAAAUUUGACGGGGUGAGCUUAAAGCUUGAGGAGGUGCUCUCCCACUCCCAAUUACCUUACCUUCAAGAGUGGAAAAUAUAACUUACAAGAGUUAAUGGAUGAAUAGAGUGGAAAGUUACAUGAAUUUCAAGGAAAAGAUGACCAAAUUCAGCAAUAAAAAAACCAUGCCUUUCGUAAAGAAUCGUGUAUUUUUGUAGGUCUUUUACUUUUCAUAUACCAUUUCUAUAGGUGAGGUUUCUUUGUGUUGUGCCAAACACCUACUGCAAUAUUAUGUCUAACUAUUAGUACAUUUUACCCAUCAAAGCCUAAGAGAGUAGUAUGAGAAUCUGAAGUGCAUGCAAAACCAAAUGAAAUUCAAGUACUGAAGAAAGAACUGAAAACAACAACAUUGAAAAAUAGCGAGUUGAGUACGAGAGCUAAGCAGACGAUAAAAAAAACUGAGGCAGCUGAAAAGAGUAAAGUUGCACUUCAGAAUC